This 514-nucleotide ribosomal RNA is filed under the name uncultured bacterium. Its description in RNAcentral is "partial 16S ribosomal RNA". It matches the Rfam family "Bacterial small subunit ribosomal RNA", at positions 28 to 523 of the family's 1533-position model. The record is from RNAcentral.
GAUGAACGCUGGCGGCGUGCCUAAUACAUGCAAGUCGAGCGAACUGAUUAGAAGCUUGCUUCUAUGACGUUAGCGGCGGACGGGUGAGUAACACGUGGGCAACCUGCCUGUAAGACUGGGAUAACUUCGGGAAACCGAAGCUAAUACCGGAUAGGAUCUUCUCCUUCAUGGGAGAUGAUUGAAAGAUGGUUUCGGCUAUCACUUACAGAUGGGCACGCGGUGCAUUAGCUAGUUGGUGAGGUAACGGCUCACCAAGGCAACGAUGCAUAGCCGACCGGAGUGGGUGAUCGGCCACACGGGGACAGAGACCCGGCCCAGACUCCGACGGGAGGCAGCAGUGGGGAAUGUUCCGCAAUGAACGAACGUCUGACGGGACAACGACGCGUGAGUGAUGAAGUCUUUCGGGUGGAAAAACUCUGUUGUUAGGGAAGAACAAGUACAAGAGUAACUGCUUGUACCUUGACGGUACCUAACCAGAAAGCCACGGCCAACUACGUGCCAGCAGCCGCAGUAA